Dromiciops gliroides (monito del monte) is the source of this 2504-nucleotide long non-coding RNA. RefSeq lists it as uncharacterized. The record is from RefSeq and is a predicted model, not a curated record. NCBI's taxonomy places the organism in Eukaryota, Metazoa, Chordata, Mammalia, Microbiotheria, Microbiotheriidae. The transcript has 5 exons.
AACACUCUUUUAAAAAAAUUUAUUUGAUCAUUAUUUUAACCUUGUAUUUUUGCUACUUACAGUAUUUGGGCUGGAUUGGGGAGACUGCGUAGUAAACACUGGAGAGAGGGGUUUUUUGGGCCUGGGAGUAAGAGGAGUUUCUUUUGAAAACAUGAAUUCUGAACUACAAUUUAGAUUGUGAGCUUCUUUGCCCCAGUGCCUUGAUUGGCACUGUAUGGUGUUGGCCUUGAAUUUCCUUUUAUCGCAGCUCCAUUUUCUCGUAAUCAGUGAAAUUAGUAAUACAUAUUGUCUUUUUUACAAAAGACAAUGUCUGAGAAACAGCCUGGAUUCACUGAUAUGAAAUAUCUGGUGAUCUAUGAGAGUAGUACAAUGAUUUGUUGGGCUUCUAGUUUUCAGGCCUGGACAGGACUUUGUUUGGAUGUUAGCUUUUUCCUUUAAAUGAAAUUUCUGGUGUUUAUUUUUCAUAGCAGUUUUUGCCAUGAAAAGUGUAGAUUUUGGUGGGGAGUGUGUUGGAGAAAUCAGUGAACAUCUUUAAAAUACCCGGGAUUACAUAAUGGCUUUUCUACCUGAGCCAAACUGUACUGACUUAAUGCAGAUCUUUUUGCCAACAGCUACUCUCUUUUAAAUAUGGGUUAGUUUAUCCUGCGGUUAGUGCUUGUGAUGAGGGUAAGAGAGGAAUGAGGAUACUGGGCUUUGUGCCUUUAAGAGAAACCACGUGGCCUGUGAAUUCUCAGGCAGGUCUGCAGGCAGUCAGUAGUGCUGCCUCUCCAGAUCUUUAUAUAAAAAUUAUGGUAGCAGGUUGAAGAUAGAUUUGGCUUUUGGUGGAAAGGGGGCUAAAUCCUUGGCAGGGCAGGAGACAUGGCUCUGUGGGCAAAGCUGGGAGGCAGAAGUACACCAGAAAAUCAAAACUUCCUUGUCUCAGGUGUACCACGGACUAGGAUUGAGAUUUUCAGGUAGUAUGGCAAUAACUUUGAUUUAGGAUUCUUCAGAGAGCUGUUCAGUUUUAAUGUGUAUGACUGCAAGGCAGAAGCUGCACUUAGUAUCAGAGAGAAGUGAUGCUGUAGCCAAACUUAUUUUCCCUACCUGGAGUUUUUAGUGGUGGAAGCCAUGAUUGAAAGUCCUACUGAUAGCAGCUUAGUUUCUCUUUAUGAAUGAAGAUAAGUUUCACCUACUGCUCUAAAACUGAAGACUGACCAUUCUUCAGCAGAACUUAAGUUGUACCAAAAAUGGAUGAAUCUUCUUGCAUAGAAACCUGAUAAAAUUCCUUAAAAUUUGCCCUUGAUGAUUAGCCUUGUAAAUUAACUGAUUUUAAAAAAUAGUUAUUUGAAUAAAUGUUGAAUAUUUUUCUUUGAGAUACUUUUAAAUGGGACCAUUGUGUCUAUAGCUUAUAUUUUAUAACCUGGAAUUUGAUGAGUUCAUUAUAACUACAUGUAUAACCCAGGAGAGUAGAUAGAACCAAGUUCCCAUAAGUAUUUUGUCACUACUUAAUUUGAGCAUGGUGUUCGAAGAUGACUGAGAUAUUUACUUUGUGAUAUGUGAACAUGUCUAUGUGUGUACUCAUGUGUAUAUAACAUAAAAGUUUAUGAAAUGCUUUCUAUCCAUGUGAGAGACUUAGUUACUGUGUGAAAGAUUUGCCUAAUGUUCAGUAGGAAACUUUUCCAUUCUUUUUUCUUUCUUUUUUUUGGUGAGGCAAUUGGAGUUAAGUAACUUGCCCAGGGUCACACAGCUAGUAUGUGUCUAGUGUCUGAGGCUGUAUUUGAACUCAAGUCCUCCUGAAUCUAGGGCCAGCUAUCCACUGCGCCACCUAGCUGCCCCAAAACUUUUCCAUUCUAAAAUAUACUUAUUGGCCUUCCUUUACAUUUUAUGUGAAAGAUAAGAUUUUCAGAAGACUUCAUUUGUCCUGUUUUGGUACAUAUAGAAUAAGAACAAAUUUGGAUAUUCCCAAAAGUAAGCUUGAAAAUUAGGCUAUACAGGGGCAGCUAGGUGGUGCAGUAGCAGAGGUUUAAAAUCAACGUUUCCUUACCCUAGGCAGCGUGCCUGCCAAGGCUAACGAGCCCCACCUGCCUGAAGCGACUGGUUUUAAGGUGCCAGUGACUCGCCUUCACCCCUUCUCCUGUUAGUGGAAACAGGUGCACUUGAGGGUUUCUACUGUCUUUGUAUCCUCAAAGGCCUAGUGCAAUGUUUUACACAUAGUAGAUACUUAAUGAUUUUGUUGAAUUGAAAUUAGGGAUUGAUAGUUGAUAGAGCUCUAAAAAACUAAAAAUAUAAUAUUUUAUGCUUAUCUCAAGAUCUUUCGCAUAAAUACCCGGAUAAGCUUUACCCCAAACUAUCCCCAAGGCCUCUUAAACUUGUAACAAACUUAAUCUGCCUCUGAUUUGGUGAAACAUCUACUAAACCAGUUUUGUCAUCUAAGUAAUCUUAAUUCACUUGCAAAUAGGUAUUUUUAAAACUAUAACCACCAGGCUGUGCAAAACUGACUCAAAUGUUUUGGAAAUCUUCAUUUU